CGGACGGGUGAGUAACACGUGAGCAACCUGCCUUUCAGAGGGGGAUAACGGCUGGAAACGGUCGCUAAUACCGCAUGACGUGUUCGGAUGGCAUCAUCUGAACAUCAAAGAUUUAUCGCUGAAAGAUGGGCUCGCGUCUGAUUAGAUAGUUGGUGGGGUAACGGCCUACCAAGUCUACGAUCAGUAGCCGGACUGAGAGGUUGAACGGCCACAUUGGGACUGAGAUACGGCCCAGACUCCUACGGGAGGCAGCAGUGGGGAAUAUUGCACAAUGGGGGAAACCCUGAUGCAGCAACGCCGCGUGAAGGAUGACGGUUUUCGGAUUGUAAACUUCUUUUCUUAGUGACGAAGACAGUGACGGUAGCUAAGGAAUAAGCAUCGGCUAACUACGUGCCAGCAGCCGCGGUAAUACGUAGGAUGCAAGCGUUAUCCGGAUUUACUGGGUGUAAAGGGAGCGCAGGCGGGACUGCAAGUUGGAUGUGAAAUACCGUGGCUUAACCACGGAACUGCAUCCAAAACUGUAGUUCUUGAGUGAAGUAGAGGCAAGCGGAAUUCCGAGUGUAGCGGUGAAAUGCGUAGAUAUUCGGAGGAACACCAGUGGCGAAGGCGGCUUGCUGGGCUUUAACUGACGCUGAGG
This 637-nucleotide ribosomal RNA is filed under the name uncultured bacterium. Its description in RNAcentral is "bacterial SSU rRNA". It matches the Rfam family "Bacterial small subunit ribosomal RNA", at positions 99 to 751 of the family's 1533-position model. The record is from RNAcentral.